RNAcentral lists this unclassified non-coding RNA (143 nucleotides) under uncultured fungus. RNAcentral describes it as "sequence contains ITS1, 5.8S rRNA gene". Lineage: Eukaryota; Fungi. The record is from RNAcentral.
ACAAAUCCGUCCAUUGCUGCUGCUGCUCGCCCUCUGCGCAAGCGGGGAGGGAGCGGGGCACAUUUGUCCCGUGUGUGCACUUGUGCAUGCACUGCGAUACAUUUCUGCGAAUCGUCUGAUUGCUUUGAAAGUGACAGUGAGAA